Molecule: ribosomal RNA, 453 nt
Filed under: uncultured Sphingobacteriales bacterium
Lineage: Bacteria; Pseudomonadati; Bacteroidota; Sphingobacteriia; Sphingobacteriales
Description: bacterial SSU rRNA
Rfam family: Bacterial small subunit ribosomal RNA
Source: RNAcentral
ACAAGCGGUGGAGCAUGUGGUUUAAUUCGAUGAUACGCGAGGAACCUUACCUGGGCUCAAAUGUAUGUUGACGUAUUCUGAAAGGGAUACUUCUUCGGACAAUAUACAAGGUGCUGCAUGGUUGUCGUCAGCUCGUGCCGUGAGGUGUCGGGUUAAGUCCCAUAACGAGCGCAACCCUAUCAUUAGUUGCCAUCAGGUCAAGCUGGGGACUCUAAUGAAACUGCCUACGCAAGUAGUGAGGAAGGUGGGGAUGACGUCAAAUCAGCACGGCCCUUACGUCCAGGGCUACACACGUGCUACAAUGGCCGGUACAAAGGGCAGCUACCUGGUGACAGGAUGCUAAUCUCAAAAGCCGGUCUCAGUUCGGAUCGGAGUCUGCAACCCGACUCCGUGAAGCUGGAGUUGCUAGUAAUCGCGAAUCAGAAUGUCGCGGUGAAUGCGUUCCCGGGUCUU